RNAcentral lists this ribosomal RNA (492 nucleotides) under uncultured bacterium. RNAcentral describes it as "partial 16S ribosomal RNA". It matches the Rfam family "Bacterial small subunit ribosomal RNA", at positions 29 to 507 of the family's 1533-position model. The record is from RNAcentral.
AGUGAACGCUGGCGGUAGGCCUAACACAUGCAAGUCGAACGGCAGCACAGUAAGAGCUUGCUCUUACGGGUGGCGAGUGGCGGACGGGUGAGGAAUACAUCGGAAUCUACUUUUUCGUGGGGGAUAACGUAGGUAAACUUACGCUAAUACCGCAUACGACCUACGGGUGAAAGCAGGGGAUCUUCGGACCUUGCGCGAUUGAAUGAGCCGAUGUCGGAUUAGCUAGUUGGCGGGGUAAAGGCCCACCAAGGCGACGAUCCGUAGCUGGUGUGAGAGGAUGAUCAGCCGCACUGGAACUGAGACACGGUCCAGACUACUACGGGAGGCAGCAGUGGGGAAUAUUGGGCAGUGGGGGGAAGCAUGGUCCAGCGAUACCGCGUGGGUGAAGAAGGCCUUCGGGUUGUGAAGCCCUUUUGUGGGGAAAGAAAAGCAGCAGGUUAAUACCCCGCUGUUCUGACGGUACCCAAAGAAUAAGCACCGGCUAACUUCGUG